Molecule: long non-coding RNA, 3353 nt
Filed under: Brassica rapa (field mustard)
Lineage: Eukaryota; Viridiplantae; Streptophyta; Magnoliopsida; Brassicales; Brassicaceae
Description: long non-coding RNA (BRAP_LNC008536)
Source: RNAcentral
CCACGCCUUGUACUCUCCUUACUGCCUAAUCUUGGUCUCUCCCCCUUUCACCUAACCUCUUGUUAGGUUGAAGUGCUCGGACACACCAGAUCAGCCUCUUCUUGGAGAUACAACUUCUCUUACUGAGUCUUGGCUGCUUCUUCUUCUUCUAGAGUCGCCACCUUGUUGCUGGAACUACAUGAGGAUGCUUCAGCCACUCUCCAAUCACCUCAACACUUGAAGCCGCCUUGGACAUUGCUUCUUCAUCCUUCAUCAUACUUCCCAACAGGUUGCUUCCUCUUCUAGAAUAACCACCAAGCUCUCUUGGAUCAUGUAAGCUUCAACACUCCCCCUCAAGCUUGAGACUCUCACAGGAACAAGCUUGAAUGGAUUGCUUCAUGAUCCUCACACACACACCAUUGCCGCUUCUCUUCUGAUCUUGCCAUCUUCAUGGAAUGCUUGUGGAAGCUUCAGCUAUCUCUCCAAUCACUUCACACUAGAAGCCGCCUUGAUAGUGUUGCCUUCAUCUUCACACAGCCAAGAGUACUCUGUCUUAGUUUGAGUACUCUCUUGAAUAGACUCGCCACAGCCUAAGCCCGAUGGCUCCUUCUUCAGAUGCUUGCAAUGGACUUCUUGGAUCGCUUGGAAGCUCACUAAACUCCCCUCCUCAAGCUUGGAUUGAGUAUAGGUCCAAGCUUGCAAGUGAGCUUCAGUGACACUUCACACCAGUGGCGCAUCACCACUUCUCUCUCAACUCUCCAUUGCUCCACACAAUGGGCAAAGUCUUCCUCUUUCAACUCGGAUGGAUGGUGAACCAAGAACACCUCUUGUGAACCUGAAACAUCACUCAAACUCCAGCAAAGAUAAGACACAAGUGCAUUGGGUCAACCCUUGAUGCAUCAUCAAGUUUGAACACCAAUGUCUUUAAGCAAUGCAACAGAUUAAACUAGACAUUUUCAAGUUCUAAUCUUUGCAAGCAAACUCUCUAAGCACUAGCAUGAUCCUAACAGAUUCAAUACAAGCUACUUAGGCAAUUUUUAAAGCUUCUUUACUCAGCAUUUAGACAUGAAUCUAAUGCUUCAAUGUAAGACAGCCAUUUGACAGUAUGCACUAGCCUUAAUCAGUUUUAAUUCAUGAAUGCAACAAUACAAUCCAUCACACAUUCAUUUAUAACUUAGGCUAAGCAUUACUAUCAUCACUUAACAUCAGACAAUGCAUUACUUUCAAUCUGUUUUCAGUUCAUGAGCUUCAAACAAUAUCAUUUCACAUUUAGCAAACUCAUUACUUAACAGGAGCAAGCAUUUUACUCUUUAAACACUAAACAAGCCUUUAAAGCAUCCUGGGACAGAUUCAACUAAUUAUAUUUAGCAAUCACACAUUAUCCUCAGGUUUUUCAAUCAAUACACAUCACAAUAACCAGGCACAGUCACAAGUUCAUUUUUAAGAGAGAUAGGAUUAGCUUACAAACAAGGAACUAGCGCUAGUUCCUUGAGCCUCCUUUGCAACCGGUCAUGCUCUUUUGAUGGACUGGAGAUGUUGAAUCGUCACCCAACAGCCCCUCCUGGUGUUCAUGACCGCUACUUGAACUUUCACCUCCAAAGGUUCCUCCUUUCACCAUCUCUUUAACUCGCCAGCUUCAGUAACAAGGGAAAUCACUCUUCUUGAAGUAUCUCCUCUUGGAAAGAAGGAAAGGCACGCCUUGUAUAGACUGGAACAGGAAGGAACCGCCAUGAUAAACCUCCAUAAUAGCUUCAGACAUCUUCUUCUUGAAGAGAGAGAGCUGGCUGGACAGAUCUUCAUGGUUUGGCUUCAUGGUGAGACAGACUUGUGACUUGAAUGCGGAAGCUACAGCUCAGGUUCUGAUGAACCUGGCUCUGAUACCAUAUGAGAUUUGAGAGCUCUGGCUGUGUAUGUGUAUGAGAAGCCAUUAGAGGCAAAGAAUAAGGUCUUGAACUAGUUGAAUAAGAGGUCUGAUGAAACUAGUAUGAACUUGAAUCAGAAACAAAGAGACUUAGAGAGAUUAAGAGAUUAGAGACUAAGAAAGGGGUAGAUUAAGGGAAUCUGAUCAAGAACACACUUUUAUAUUUAUGAAGGAGAUGGGGAAAACCCCCAUACUCUCUUAAGAGAGUUACACACGCCCAUGAGGGUCUUUAUAUAGGUUUUACACUCUUGCAAACUCAUAAACCUAUAUCUAAUGGAUAGAAAUAACUUAAGAGGAAUGGAUGGUGAGGAUGAGUUGGUCUUGUUGUGAUCUGAGUGAUGUGUGCUGAUUGGAUGAGCUAAGCUGGCUCACUUUAAUUCAAACAAGGCUGUGCUGUGAUUGGCUCUCCUUAGGCUCCUUUGUAUCUGUCUACAGAUCAGUCUAGGUGCAUGGUCGUGGCUGCUCUUCCUUUACAGCAACAGCCAGCCUGUCCAUGCCCCAAAGUAACCAAUCAGCUCCACACAGCAUCUUCUUGAUUCCCUUUGACUAGAUUCAAACCUUGGUGCCUCACAUCCUGAAUAGUGAUCCAAAUAGUGAAUAGUCAACCUGAAUAGUGACUAGUGAUUCACUAUUCACUUUUACACCAACUUGCCCAAACUUCUCCAAUCUUACUGUGGUAACUCUCCAAAGUUACUGUGGUAACUUUGGAGUUACUGUCUGACCCAAAUCUUCUCUAAAUGGUGUCUAAGUCCCUCCUGGACUUAACCCUAUCUUUGCACACUCAUCAGACCACUUCUGAAGCCUUAAGACUCUCCCAAAGCCUUAACAUACAAUCUCUGAAGAUCUUGCCAUGUCUUUGCACAAGCACCAACUCAACUCAUCACUUUUGCUUCUCCACUUCUUCUCUUCAAGUUAACACUCCCCCUCAAGCUUGACUCUAGCUGAUCCUAAGUCAAGCUUGGAACCUUGAAGAACUUCCUCAUUAAAAACCUCACCAAGGAAAACCCUUUGGGACAAAACCUUGAUGAGGGAAAAAGAGUAAAGUCUCCAAGGCCUAGGGAUUGGCCAGUGAGUCUUUGUGCCUUACCAACAAUGUAAGGGACACAAAGACUCUGGAUCAUGGCCUCUACAAUCAUCCCACGCCUUGUACUCUCCUUACUGCCUAAUCUUGGUCUCUCCCCCUUUCACCUAACCUCUUGUUAGGUUGAAGUGCUCAGACACACCAGAUCAGCCUCUUCUUGGAGAUACAACUUCUCUUACUGAGUCUUGGCUGCUUCUUCUUCUUCUAGAGUCGCCACCUUGUUGCUUGAGCUACAUGAGGAUGCUUCAGCCACUCUCCAAUCACCUCAACACUUGAGGCCGCCUUGGACAUUGCUUCUUCAUCCUUCAUCAUACUUCUCAACAGGUUGCUUCCUCUUCUAGAAUAACCACCAAGCUCUCUUGGAUCAUGUAA